This 1371-nucleotide unclassified non-coding RNA is filed under the name Polistes canadensis. Its description in RNAcentral is "endophilin-B2, transcript variant X2". The record is from RNAcentral. Lineage: Eukaryota; Metazoa; Arthropoda; Insecta; Hymenoptera; Vespidae.
AAGUUCACGCGCAAAGUUAAACGGCGCCACUUCGCGGAAGUUUACGGAAUUACGGAUCGAUAGAAAAUAAGAAGCAAUAGAAAAUAAAAAGCAAUAGAAGGUAUUCACCGAAUAAUCGUCAUCCUGUUAAAGAGAACAAAAAUGGAUUUCAACGUAAAGAAAUUGGUUAAGGAUGCUGGUGCUGCAUUGAGCAGAGUUGUACAGCUAACAGAAGAAACGUUAGGUACAUCCGAGAAAACUGAAUUAGAUGCACAUUUAGAACAUCUCGCUGAAAGGGCAAAUGCAACUAAAACGUGGACAGAAAAAGUUCUCAGGAAUAUGGAAGCUGUACUUACUCCUAAUCCAGGAAAUAGAAUUGAGGAUUUCUUUUAUGAAAAAAUUGAUAAAAAGAAACCCAACAGACUUAGCAAUCUCGAAUAUGUAGGCAUCGAUAUGAUAGAAGCUGGAAAUGAUUUUGGUCCUGGUAUCGCUUAUGGUAGCUCUUUGAUAAAAGUAGGUCAGUGUCAACAAAAAUUAGGUCAAAUCGAAAGAGAUUUUAUUGGAAUUGCAGCCAAUUGUUAUAUACAACCGUUAAGAAAGUUUUUAGACGGAGAAAUGAAAACUGUUAGCAAGGAGAUGGCUAUAUUAGAAAUUAAGAGGUUGGAUUUAGAUGCAUGUAAGAAUCGAGUAAGGAAAGCCAGAAGCAUGGUGGGCCAACAGAGUGACUCUGGCGUUUCACCCGAAGUAUUACUCGAUCAGGCAGAGAGGGAGCUGAGGGUGGCACAAUCGGAAUUUGAUCGGCAAGCAGAAAUCGCGAAGCUACUUUUAGAAGGAGUAUCUAGUUCCCAAGCUGGACAUUUGAGAUGUUUACACGAAUUCGUGGAAGCACAAGCACGUCAUUACGCGCAAUGUCAUGCGACUAUGCAAGAAUUGCAACGUGAACUUGCCGGCUUAACUGGGGGUCCCUAUUACUCGACCGCCUCAACAAAUCCUACUGCACAAGUGGAAAAUGGUCAAGAUCGUGCAAGAGUAGUCUGUGAUUAUGAUGCUAGGGAUUCAACCGAACUUAGUGUCAUGCAAGACGAGGUAACCAAAUUUGUGAUUUAGGUAGAUGACAGCAUGCGUUCCAUGUAUCCAUAAACAAGGCAUGAUAUUCGUCCGAACUGUUACACUAUAAUCAAGUUUAUAAAAAAUAAUAUAAGAAGUUCCAUGUAAUACUCAAAUGGAAGUGAUCUAGGAUAAUAAAUUUCUAUUGUAGGAGAAUUGGCAUUAUACUUAUCAUGCGAAUAGAUGCAUGAAAAAAUAAUAUUAAUUAACUUUUAAAUAGAUAUAUUAAAUAGAUUUUAUAAAAAUAUAUAUAUAGAUAGAGUAACGAAUAAUUUUUUAUAUUUU